This 305-nucleotide ribosomal RNA is filed under the name uncultured bacterium. RNAcentral describes it as "partial 16S ribosomal RNA". It matches the Rfam family "Bacterial small subunit ribosomal RNA", at positions 505 to 807 of the family's 1533-position model. The record is from RNAcentral.
ACAGCAGCAGCCGCGGGAAUACGAAGGGUGCAAGCGUUAAUCGGAAUUACUGGGCGUAAAGCGUGCGUAGGCGGUGAGUUAAGUCUGCUGUGAAAUCCCCGGGCUCAACCUGGGAAUGGCAGUGGAUACUGGCUCGCUAGAGUGUGUCAGAGGAUGGUGGAAUUCCCGGUGUAGCGGUGAAAUGCGUAGAGAUCGGGAGGAACAUCAGUGGCGAAGGCGGCCAUCUGGGACAACACUGACGCUGAGGCACGAAAGCGUGGGGAGCAAACAGGAUUAGAUACCCGUGUAGUCCCUGUCUCUUAUAC